GCAGUUAUGAAUAUUCAUGUACAUGUCUCCUGGAACACUUGAGCAAGACUUACUCCUGGAUAUUUGCCCAAAAAUGGAACUGCUGGGUUUUAAGACAGAGUCUCGCCCCGUCACCCAGGCUGGAAAAUCUCAGCUCACUGCAACCUCCGCCUCCCGGAUUCAAGUGAUUCUCCCGCCUCAGCCUCCUGAGUAGCUGGGACUACAGGAGUCAGCCACCAUGCCCAGCUUUUUGUAUUCUGUAGUAGAGACAGGGUUUCACCAUGUUGACCAGGCUGAUCUUGAACUCCUGACCUCAGGGAUGUACCCAUCUUGGCUUCCCAAAGUUCUGGGAUCACAGGCGUGAACCACCACGCCUGGCCUUCGUGUUUGAGUCACAUUUGGUUAAUUCUCCCAUUAUCUCAAACUUUUCCAUUAUUGUAUCUAUUAUAGUGAUCUGUGAUCUUUGAUGUUACUAUUGUAAUUGCUUUGGGGUGCCACAAACAGUGCCCAUGUAAGAGGGCGAACUCAAUCAAUAAAUGUGUGUUAACUGUUCUCUCUCUGUGCUUGGGCCUCCCUCUUCCCAGAGACAAUAUUCAAACUAGGCCAAUUAAUAACACCCUACAAUGGCCUCUAAGUGUUCAAGUGAAAGGAAGAGGCAAUCAAGGAGGCAAAGUUCCUUGUUGUCAAGAAACCGCCGUCAUCCCAGCCUUCACCGACCACCACCUCAGUCAGUCAGCAGCCAUCACCAAUGAGGCAAGAACUUCCACCAGCAAAAAGAUUACGACUUGCAAAAGCUCAGAUGACUGUUAGCAUUUAAAAAAUUAAGGGAUGUACCGUUUUCAUAGACAUAACACUAUUGCUCACUUAAGACUGCAGUAUUGUGGA
This 864-nucleotide long non-coding RNA is filed under the name Homo sapiens (human). RNAcentral's name for it is "HSALNT0229772". Lineage: Eukaryota; Metazoa; Chordata; Mammalia; Primates; Hominidae. The record is from RNAcentral.